Molecule: non-coding RNA, 136 nt
Organism: Triticum aestivum (bread wheat)
Lineage: Eukaryota; Viridiplantae; Streptophyta; Magnoliopsida; Poales; Poaceae
Source: Rfam
AUUCUACUCCCUCCGUUGCACAAUACAUGCCUUCUAUUUGUCAAAAUAUAUAUGUAUCUAGACAUGUUUUAGUAUAUAGGCACAUCCGUUUUUCGACAAAUGGAAGUCAAGUAUUUUGGAACGGAGGGAGUACACA